UACGUAGGGGGCUAGCGUUGUCCGGAAUAAUUGGGCGUAAAGCGCGUGUAGGCGGUUCGGUAAGUCCGCUGUGAAAGUCGGGGGCUCAACCCUCGGAUGCCGGUGGAUACUGUCGGGCUUGAGUACGGAAGAGGCGAGUGGAAUUCCUGGCGUAGCGGUGAAAUGCGCAGAUAUCAGGAGGAACACCGAUGGCGAAGGCAGCUCGCUGGGACGGUACUGACGCUGAGGCGCGAAAGCGUGGGGAGCAAACAGG
RNAcentral lists this ribosomal RNA (253 nucleotides) under uncultured bacterium. RNAcentral describes it as "partial 16S ribosomal RNA". It matches the Rfam family "Bacterial small subunit ribosomal RNA", at positions 524 to 776 of the family's 1533-position model. The record is from RNAcentral.